This 511-nucleotide ribosomal RNA is filed under the name uncultured Bacillota bacterium. RNAcentral describes it as "bacterial SSU rRNA". It matches the Rfam family "Bacterial small subunit ribosomal RNA", at positions 355 to 857 of the family's 1533-position model. The record is from RNAcentral. Lineage: Bacteria; Bacillati; Bacillota.
UAGGGAAUCUUCCGCAAUGGACGAAAGUCUGACGGAGCAACGCCGCGUGAGUGAUGAAGGCUUUCGGGUCGUAAAACUCUGUUGUUAGGGAAGAACAAGUACGAGAGUAACUGCUCGUACCUUGACGGUACCUAACCAGAAAGCCACGGCUAACUACGUGCCAGCAGCCGCGGUAAUACGUAGGUGGCAAGCGUUAUCCGGAAUUAUUGGGCGUAAAGCGCGCGCAGGCGGUUUCUUAAGUCUGAUGUGAAAGCCCACGGCUCAACCGUGGAGGGUCAUUGGAAACUGGGGAACUUGAGUGCAGAAGAGAAAAGCGGAACUCCACGUGUAGCGGUGAAAUGCGUAGAGAUGUGGAGGAACACCAGUGGCGAAGGCGGCUUUUUGGUCUGUAACUGACGCUGAGGCGCGAAAGCGUGGGGAGCAAACAGGAUUAGAUACCCUGGUAGUCCACGCCGUAAACGAUGAGUGCUGAGUGUUAGAGGGUUUCCGCCCUUUAGUGCUGCAGCUAACG